AUUGCACGCUGGCGGCCGGCCUCACACAUGCACGUCGAACGAGUGGCGGACGGGUGAGUAAUGUCUGGGAAACUGCCCGAUGGCGGGGGAUAACUACUGGAAACGGUAGCUAAUACCGCAUACCCUCGGAUGUGCCCAGAUGGGUUUCGCUAGUAGGUGGGGUAACGGCUCACCUAGGCGACGAUCCCUAGCUGGUCUGAGAGGAUGACCAGCCAAACUGGAACUGAGACACGGUCCAGACUCCAACGGGAGGCAGAAGUGGGGAAUAUUGCACAAUGGGCGCAAGCCUGAGACAGCCAGGCCGCGUGUAUGAAGAAGGCCUUCGGGUUGUAAAGUACUUUCAGCGAGGAGGCGUUACUCGAAGAAGAAGCACCGGCUAACUCCGUGCCAGCCGCCGCGGUAAUUC
RNAcentral lists this ribosomal RNA (406 nucleotides) under uncultured bacterium. RNAcentral describes it as "partial 16S ribosomal RNA". It matches the Rfam family "Bacterial small subunit ribosomal RNA", at positions 30 to 526 of the family's 1533-position model. The record is from RNAcentral.